UGAGAUUUGUGAGUUAGGCCCAAGACCUAAUUUCACAAGUAGUUUGCAGAAAUAAAAAACAGAGACUAUGCACACUGCUUACUGCACAUGUAAGAAGAAGGAGAAGAAAAAACGUACUGAAAAAUGUACCUGCUGAAGGCUGCGAAGCAGAGAAGAAAGAAGAACAGAAGAAAAAAGAAGAAGAAGUACCUGGUGAUAGUCGCGAAGCUGGA
This 212-nucleotide long non-coding RNA is filed under the name Solanum tuberosum (potato). Its description in RNAcentral is "long non-coding RNA (STUB_LNC008366)". The record is from RNAcentral. Lineage: Eukaryota; Viridiplantae; Streptophyta; Magnoliopsida; Solanales; Solanaceae.